GGGAUAUUGCACAAUGGAGGAAACUCUGAUGCAGCAACGCCGCGUGAGGGAAGAAGGUUUUCGGAUUGUAAACCUCUGUUUUUAGUGACGAAACAAAUGACGGUAGCUAAAGAGGAAGCCACGGCUAACUACGUGCCAGCAGCCGCGGUAAUACGUAGGUGGCAAGCGUUGUCCGGAUUUACUGGGUGUAAAGGGUGCGCAGGCGGGAUUGCAAGUUGGAUGUGAAAUACCGGGGCUUAACCCCGGAACUGCAUCCAAAACUGUAGUUCUUGAGUGGAGCAGAGGUAAGCGGAAUUCCGAGUGUAGCGGUGAAAUGCGUAGAUAUUCGGAGGAACACCAGUGGCGAAGGCGGCUUACUGGGCUCUAACUGACGCUGAGGCACGAAAGUGUGGGUAGCAAACA
Molecule: ribosomal RNA, 402 nt
Filed under: uncultured bacterium
Lineage: Bacteria
Description: bacterial SSU rRNA
Rfam family: Bacterial small subunit ribosomal RNA
Source: RNAcentral